GCCUGGGUGGCUCAGUCGGUUGAGCAUCUGACUUUAGCUCAGGUCAUAAUCUCACGGAUCAUGGGUUCCAGCCCCACAUCCGGCA
This 85-nucleotide transfer RNA is filed under the name Felis catus (domestic cat). It matches the Rfam family "tRNA". Rfam says of the family: Transfer RNA (tRNA) molecules are approximately 80 nucleotides in length. Their secondary structure includes four short double-helical elements and three loops (D, anti-codon, and T loops). Lineage: Eukaryota; Metazoa; Chordata; Mammalia; Carnivora; Felidae. The record is from Rfam by way of RNAcentral.